CGUGAAAUCCACCAAUGUUUUACAGCAAUUGGAUGACGAACGAAGAGUCGUUCGAGCUGUUUUGGCCGAUUUUGGUUUGGCACGUUUUCAUUCGGAUCUCAACGAAAGUACGGCUCUGGCCUAGCAGCCGCGGUAGGUAACCACGGCUAUGUCGAUCCUUUGUAUGCAGAGAGUUCAACCUACAGACGGGCCGGCCGUUUUGCAUGUCCUUCACGCUUGAAGGUCGCGGGGAAUAUUACGUUAAACUGUCAAUGCGGUGGUGUAGAGAUUGGGUGAGAAUGAAACGUGUUGCAUCAUUAUCAAGCAGACCCAUCCCCAGCAACGUCAACCUAAAGAAGGAAAGGCCAUUUUUCAUUU
Molecule: long non-coding RNA, 357 nt
Organism: Daphnia pulicaria
Lineage: Eukaryota; Metazoa; Arthropoda; Branchiopoda; Diplostraca; Daphniidae
Exons: 3
Source: RefSeq, a predicted model, not a curated record